AGCUCCAUUGGCGUAUAUUAAAGUUGUUGCGGUUAAAAAGCUCGUAGUUGGAUCUGUGUAUCGGACGGUCGGUUCGCCGCCCGCGGUGUUUAACUGACCGGUCCGGACGUCCUGCCGGUGGGUCCUCGGUUCACGCCGGGGCCCGUAACUCCCUCCGUGCUGCUCUUAACCGAGUGGUACGGUGGGCCGGCACGUUUACUUUGAACAAAUUUGAGUGCUCAAAGCAGGCCUUAUGUUGCCUGAAAACUGUGUGCAUGGAAUAAUGGAAUAGGACCUUGGUUCUAUUUUGUUGGCUUUUCUGAACUCGAGGUAAUGAUUAAUAGGGACAGACGGGGGCAUUCGUAUUGCGACGUUAGAGGUGAAAUUCUUGGAUCGUCGCAAGACGAACCGAUGCGAAAGCGUUUGCCAAGAAUGUUUUCGCUAAUCAAGAACGAAAGUUAGAGGUUCGAAGGCGAUCAGAUACCGCCCUAGUUCUAACCAUAAACGAUGCCAGCCAGCGAUGCGCCGAAGUUAAUUUAAUGACUCGGCGCGCAGCUUCCGGGAAACCAAAGCUUUUGGGUUCCGGGGGAAGUA
RNAcentral lists this ribosomal RNA (573 nucleotides) under Lachlania alcidesi. RNAcentral's name for it is "SSU rRNA". It matches the Rfam family "Eukaryotic small subunit ribosomal RNA", at positions 587 to 1125 of the family's 1831-position model. The record is from RNAcentral. Lineage: Eukaryota; Metazoa; Arthropoda; Insecta; Ephemeroptera; Oligoneuriidae.